AGACCAGCAAGUCCAAUGGAAUUGUACCCUUCCACAAGGUACCUACUGCAGAGCAGAUGUCUAAUGACAUUGAUGAAUCUUCAGAUGCUACAGACUACGAUGAUGCUGACUUUGUUCCAGAGUCAAGUUGGAAUUCCUCAGACUCAAGUUCUUCUAUUAAGGGACUCAAAAUCAAAGAAAAUCAUCUUACCCACAAAGUGAAAAAGUCAUUGGGGAUCAGUACAGGACAAAGUGGGGAUAGUACCACAUGUUCAGUGAAACCAAGUUCUUCAAGGAUGAGUGGCGGUAAUUCUAGUACAGUGACAAGUAGUAGUUCACAUUUUUCAGAAAAGACAUCACCCAAGAAAAGCUCCAUAAAUGUCACAGCAUUACCAAACACUACAAAACAAAAGUACAACAAGAAGCAAUAUUGUCUGUAUUGUAAAAAGGCAAUUUCUAAAUUGGCAAGACACCUCGAAUCCGCCCACAGUGAACAGCAUGAUGUUGCAAAGGCUUUCAGUUUUAAUAAAAGAUCCCGUGAAAGAAGACAGAUGUUGCGCUCCCUUAAGAAGAGGGGAAACUUUCACCAUAAUGCUACCGUUGCAAGCUGUGGUGCUGGAGAAAUGGUUGCUUGUCGAAGACCUUCUAAAGAGAAACAAUCUGAUGACUACCGUCACUGCAAGUUUUGUCAGGGACUCUAUGCAAGAGAUUGCCUAUGGAGACAUGUUAAAAACUGCCCUCAGAAGCCUGAUGAGGGAGAGCCUCAAGGUGGGCGAAAACGGAUCCACCUUGAUCUACCAAAACCUGAUUCAGUUCAGGAAGCAGUUUGGAAGAUUGCCUGUGAAAUGAACCAGGAUGACAUUUCCUCGGUUGUAAGGAGUGAAAGUGACAUCCUUAGUCUCGGUGAGUCCCUUUACAAUGCAAGGAAACCACACGAGAAAAUAAAUGAUUACAUUCGCCAAAAAAUGAGAGAGAUGGCAAGACUUUUACAGCAAGAGCAAUAGGUCCUUUGAAAAGAGCCGAAGAUCUUGUUAUGCCCAGUAACUUUCCCCACAUGAUACGAGCUGUUAGAGAGGUUGCUGGUUAUGAGUUGGGAAGCAACUCAUAUACAAUUCCAUCUUUGGCUCUUAAAUUGGGGCACAGUUUGGCCAAACUUGCAGGCAUUGUGCAAUGCAAUGCUAUCAUUGCAAAUCGCCAUGCUGUUGCAGAGUCUGCCAAGCAAUUUGCCAUUCUUUACGAGAAAAGAUGGACAGAGUCCAUUUCAGGUGCUGCAUUAGGUACACUUCAACAGGCCAAAUGGAAUAAACCACAAGUGUUGCCCUUUACAAGUGAUGUGUGUCUGCUGCACACGUUACUAUCUACUGAGCGUGCUCAGUGCAUGAAGGACCUUGCGGAAGAACCGAAUAGCCAAAGCUUUGGAAAUCUUGCUCAAGUUACUUUGACACAGAUAGUGCUCUUUAACAGAAAAAGACAGGGGGAAGUAUCAAAAAUGGAGCUCCAGACAUUCACAUCCAGGAAUCGUACGGAGUUGAAUCCUGACAUUAUGAUGGGCCUCACCGAGUUUGAAAAGACUCUUACAAAGUACUUUAACAGGGUUGAGAUUCGGGGUAAAAGGUCAAGGAUGGUGCCUGUGCUUCUCACACCUGAAAUAAUAAUAAUAAUAUAUUUUAUUUAUAAGCGCACUUUUCAUUUGCGUAAACAAAACUCAAAGUGCUACAAAAUUAAAAAGGGUGAAAUGAUUGCUGCAAUGAACUUACUUGUGGAAAAGAGAAAUGAGUGUCAAAUCCACACAGACAAUGUAUACUUGUUUGCACGCCCAGGUGGUCUUUCCCAUUACAGGGGCUCUGACUGCUUUCGCAAGUAUGCGAACCAAUCUGGUGCGAAAAACCCAGAGGCACUCACCUCAACAAGAUUGCGGAAACAAGUCGCCACUUUGUCCACAGUACUUAACCUCAAGGAAAACGAAAUGGAUCAACUUGCCACCUUUCUAGGACAUGACAUUCGUGUCCACAGAUAAUUCUACCGUCUUCCAGAAAGUACCCUGCAACUUGCAAAAGUCAGCAAGUUGCUGAUAGCAAUGGAAAAAGGAAGACUGUCUGACCUGCAGGGGAAAGGGCUGGAUGACAUAGAGAUCAAUCCUGAAGAUGAAGUAAGCACGAGUGAUGAUGAAACUGGUGAAGAAUCCAUUGCUGACAUACAUCAAAACAUAGAUUCCCAGAAGAACACAACACUUCACUUGGCUUCAAACAAAGCUUCCUCAAAGUGCUCAAAUGGAAAGCAAGCUGGGAAGAUGAGAAGCAAGUGGACAGGUGAAGAGGUGAAGGCUGUUGAGCGGCAUUUGUUUGACUUCAUAACAAGCUGCAGAGUACCUGGGAAAAAGGACUGUGACUCCUGUCUCAAAGCAGAGCCAGUAGCUCUGAAAGACAGGGACUGGGUUGCAGUCAAGUAUUACACCCACAACAGAAUCAUCGCCUUAAAAAGGAAGAUUAAUUCAUAGGACUAUAACAUGCCAA
Molecule: RNA transcript, 2492 nt
Organism: Gymnodraco acuticeps
Lineage: Eukaryota; Metazoa; Chordata; Actinopteri; Perciformes; Bathydraconidae
Exons: 5
Source: RefSeq, a predicted model, not a curated record